This 536-nucleotide ribosomal RNA is filed under the name uncultured bacterium. RNAcentral describes it as "bacterial SSU rRNA". It matches the Rfam family "Bacterial small subunit ribosomal RNA", at positions 772 to 1304 of the family's 1533-position model. The record is from RNAcentral.
ACUAAAUAGAUACCCCGGUAGUCCACGCCCUAAACGAUGUCUACUAGUUGUUGGUGGAGUAAAAUCCAUGAGUAAACGCAGCUAAACGCGUGAAGUAGACCGCCUGGGGAGUACGGUCGCAAGAUUAAAACUCGAAGGAAUUGACGGGGGCCCGCACAAGCGGUGGAUUAUGUGGAUUAAUUCGAUGCAACGCGAAAAACCUUACCUGGCCUUGACAUGCCACUAACGAAGCAGAGAUGCAUUAGGUGCCCGUAAGGGAAAGUGGACACAGGUGCUGCAUGGCUGUCGUCAGCUCGUGUCGUGAGAUGUUGGGUUAAGUCCCGCAACGAGCGCAACCCUUGCCAUUAAUUGCCAUCAUUUAGUUGGGCACUUUAAUGGGACUGCCGGUGACAAACCGGAGGAAGGUGGGGAUGACGUCAAGUCCUCAUGGCCCUUAUGGCCAGGGCUUCACACGUAAUACAAUGGUCGGUACAGAGAGUUGCCAACCCGCGAGGGGUAGCUAAUCUCAGAAAGCCGAUCGUAGUCCGGAUUGUUCU